CGAUACAGGGUGACAGCCCCGUACACAAAAGCGCAUGUGCUGUGAGCUCGAUGAGUAGGGCGGGACACGUGGUAUCCUGUCUGAAUAUGGGGGGACCAUCCUCCAAGGCUAAAUACUCCUGACUGACCGAUAGUGAACCAGUACCGUGAGGGAAAGGCGAAAAGAACCCCGGCGAGGGGAGUGAAAAAGAACCUGAAACCGUGUACGUACAAGCAGUGGGAGCACAGGUUUACCUGUGUGACUGCGUACCUUUUGUAUAAUGGGUCAGCGACUUAUAUUCUGUAGCAAGGUUAACCGUAUAGGGGAGCCGAAGGGAAACCGAGUCUUAACCGGGCGUUAAGUUGCAGGGUAUAGACCCGAAACCCGGUGAUCUAGCCAUGGGCAGGUUGAAGGUUGGGUAACACUAACUGGAGGACCGAACCGACUAAUGUUGAAAAAUUAGCGGAUGACCUGUGGCUGGGGGUGAAAGGCCAAUCAAACCGGGAGAUAGCUGGUUCUCCCCGAAAGCUAUUUAGGUAGCGCCUCGUGAAUUCAUCUCCGGGGGUAGAGCACUGUUUCGGCUAGGGGGCCAUCCCGGCUUACCAACCCGAUGCAAACUGCGAAUACCGGAGAAUGUUAUCACGGGAGACACACGGCGGGUGCUAACGUCCGUCGUGAAGAGGGAAACAACCCAGACCGCCAGCUAAGGUCCCAAAGUCAUGGUUAAGUGGGAAACGAUGUGGGAAGGCCCAGACAGCCAGGAUGUUGGCUUAGAAGCAGCCAUCAUUUAAAGAAAGCGUAAUAGCUCACUGGUCGAGUCGGCCUGCGCGGAAGAUGUAACGGGGCUAAACCAUGCACCGAAGCUGCGGCAGCGACGCUGAUGCGUUGUUGGGUAGGGGAGCGUUCUGUAAGCCUGCGAAGGUGGCCUGUGAGGGUUGCUGGAGGUAUCAGAAGUGCGAAUGCUGACAUAAGUAACGAUAAAGCGGGUGAAAAGCCCGCUCGCCGGAAGACCAAGGGUUCCUGUCCAACGUUAAUCGGGGCAGGGUGAGUCGACCCCUAAGGCGAGGCCGAAAGGCGUAGUCGAUGGGAAACGGGUUAAUAUUCCCGUACUUGGUGUUACUGCGAAGGGGGGACGGAGAAGGCUAUGUUGGCCGGGCGACGGUUGUCCCGGUUUAAGCGUGUAGGUGUGUGUUCCAGGUAAAUCCGGUUCACUUUAACACUGAGGCGUGACGACGAGGCACUACGGUGCUGAAGCAACAAAUGCCCUGCUUCCAGGAAAAGCCUCUAAGCAUCAGGUAACAUCAAAUCGUACCCCAAACCGACACAGGUGGUCAGGUAGAGAAUACCAAGGCGCUUGAGAGAACUCGGGUGAAGGAACUAGGCAAAAUGGUGCCGUAACUUCGGGAGAAGGCACGCUGACACGUAGGUGAAGUGAUUUACUCAUGGAGCUGAAGUCAGUCGAAGAUACCAGCUGGCUGCAACUGUUUAUUAAAAACACAGCACUGUGCAAACACGAAAGUGGACGUAUACGGUGUGACGCCUGCCCGGUGCCGGAAGGUUAAUUGAUGGGGUCAGCGCAAGCGAAGCUCCUGAUCGAAGCCCCGGUAAACGGCGGCCGUAACUAUAACGGUCCUAAGGUAGCGAAAUUCCUUGUCGGGUAAGUUCCGACCUGCACGAAUGGCGUAAUGAUGGCCAGGCUGUCUCCACCCGAGACUCAGUGAAAUUGAACUCGCUGUGAAGAUGCAGUGUACCCGCGGCAAGACGGAAAGACCCCGUGAACCUUUACUAUAGCUUGACACUGAACAUUGAGCCUUGAUGUGUAG
Molecule: ribosomal RNA, 1802 nt
Filed under: Salmonella enterica
Lineage: Bacteria; Pseudomonadati; Pseudomonadota; Gammaproteobacteria; Enterobacterales; Enterobacteriaceae
Also listed under: 1 other name
Description: partial 23S ribosomal RNA
Rfam family: Bacterial large subunit ribosomal RNA
Source: RNAcentral